This 172-nucleotide ribosomal RNA is filed under the name uncultured bacterium. RNAcentral describes it as "partial 16S ribosomal RNA". It matches the Rfam family "Bacterial small subunit ribosomal RNA", at positions 355 to 524 of the family's 1533-position model. The record is from RNAcentral.
UGAGGAAUAUUGGUCAAUGGAGGCAACUCUGAACCAGCCAUGCCGCGUGAAGGAUGACGGCCCUAUGGGUUGUAAACUUCUUUUGAAUAGGAAAAAACUUAUCUACGUGUAGAUAACUGACGGUACUAUUAGAAUAAGGAUCGGCUAACUCCAUGCCAGCAGCCGCGGUAAU